Molecule: ribosomal RNA, 464 nt
Filed under: uncultured bacterium
Lineage: Bacteria
Description: partial 16S ribosomal RNA
Rfam family: Bacterial small subunit ribosomal RNA
Source: RNAcentral
CCUACGGGGCGCAGCAGUGGGGAAUAUUGGGCAAUGGGCGCAAGCCUGACCCAGCAACGCCGCGUGAAGGAAGAAGGAAUUCGUUCUGUAAACUUCUGUUAUAAAGGAAGAAAGACGGAUGGAGGAAAUGACAUCCGAGUGACGGUACUUUAUGAGAAAGCCACGGCUAACUACGUGCCAGCAGCCGCGGUAAUACGUAGGUGGCAAGGGUUAACCGGAAUUAUUGGGCGAAAAGAGGGAGCAGGCGGCAGCAAAGGUCUGUGGUGAAAGACUGAAGCUUAACUUCAGUAAGCCAUAGAAAGCGGGCAGCUAGAGGGCAGGAGAGGAUCGUGGAAUUCCAUGUGUAGCGGUGAAAUGCGUAGAUAUAUGGAGGAACACCAGUGGCGAAGGCGACGAUCUGGCCUGCAACUGACGCUCAGUCCCGAAAGCGUGGGGAGCAAAUAGGAUUAGAUACCCCUGUAGUC